Small nuclear RNA from Nomascus leucogenys (northern white-cheeked gibbon), 100 nucleotides. The record is from Rfam. NCBI's taxonomy places the organism in Eukaryota, Metazoa, Chordata, Mammalia, Primates, Hylobatidae.
GCGCUCGCUUCAGCAGCACAUAUACUAAAAAUGAUACAGAGAAGAUUAGCAUGGUCCCUGCACAAGGAUCACACUCAAAUGUUAAAUAUUAUAAUUAAAA